ACAUCACUUUUUUCUCUCAAUUUUUCAUUUAUAAUCAGACCGAUACAAUCUCCCUCUAACCUUCGAUUAGGGCUUUUCUAUGAAUAAUAACUUCUCUUCGACGCCGUACCUCCGCCGCCGCGUUCGCCUCCACCUCCGCCUCCGCCAUUGCCGCUAAUGCCGAGCCGGCAUCUCUGUUGCUACUUCUUCCCUCAUGAUCGAACUAAUCAUUGUGAAGACAAAUUGAAAAAGGCGAAAAUCUUUCAACUCUGCAGGUGUUUUGAAUCACCCGUGGAUUGCGUGACAGGAUGCUUUCGAAGAAUUUGGUUACCGAAAUACUUGUGCAAUCUUCCCCGAGACCAAAAUGACACUAAACAGAUUCUCGUGUAUAGCAUUAGCUAGUGGCAACAGAGUUUCUGUAUGGUACUGCAGAAGGAGGCCUUUCAGAUAUCAACACGGUUUCGUUUCCCUCCCAAGAACAAUAAUUUUUAAUUUCUGAUUAUGGCUAAAAAUAUUUUUCAAGAAAGCUAACAUUCCGAGAAAUAGUUUCUCUAUGCUUGAUUAUUCAAAUUUUAGAUUCAUUUUUUCUUCAUCAACUUCAUUAGAUUUCUCUCUCUGUGUUGUUUGUUUAUUGUAGUUGCUGGAUGGCAGAAAAUAUAGGCAUUUUUUAUGGCCAAGAAGAGCGGAAGCAAUUAAGUCAGGGAGGACUUGCCAUGGUUCAGUUGUUGGAAUGGUUUGAUAUAUCUUACGCCAUUUCAAUAUCUUUUCAUAAAUAUAUGAUGAGUUAAUUUUAUCCAGCCUUGCUAUCUGAUUUCAAAAUUUUUAUGCCGACUGCUACUUUAUCACUGAAAACUAUAUGAUGAACUUUACAAAUUAGGGGAUUAAGAUCAAAGAUUGGCAGCAAUAAAGGGCCUGCUCUAUUGUAUCGAAAUGUUCUGUUUCACCUAGUAAAGUUAUUGGAUUGCUACUGACAAUAUGCCUAUAUCCAGGUUAGGUUAGCAUCGUAAUUGUGGGUUGCAACAUUGUUUGCCGAAUAUCAGAAAAAAUCUCAAAAAGACUUUCUUGUUCUCAUUGUCAUAUGUGCUGAACCACUUUUUCUGGGGUUUUAGAAUUUCAUGGAACACAUUUUACAUUGGAGCAUGGGAGCAAGGACAUUUUGUUGAACUAAGGAUAUGUAGACUUUGAAAGUAAAUGUAUUGUGUAGGUUACUUCAAGUGUUGUUUUGAAGAUAGAUUUUUUGAAGUUUGGUAUUGUAUAUUUUUGGAAAGCAAUAAUUCAUGUUUUGGGGAAUCCGAGUGAUUUUUAGCAUGUGUUUAUAUUCGUAUUGGAAAAUUAUACGAAUUUUUGGCAUGCGGUUAAAUUUUUGUAAA
Molecule: non-coding RNA, 1349 nt
Organism: Erythranthe guttata (spotted monkey flower)
Lineage: Eukaryota; Viridiplantae; Streptophyta; Magnoliopsida; Lamiales; Phrymaceae
Source: RefSeq, a predicted model, not a curated record